AGAGUUUGAUCCUGGCUCAGAUUGAACGCUGGCGGCAUGCCUAACACAUGCAAGUCGAACGGUAACAGGUCUUCGGAUGCUGACGAGUGGCGGACGGGUGAGUAACGCGUAGGAAUCUGUCUUUGAGUGGGGGACAACCCAGGGAAACUUGGGCUAAUACCGCAUAAGCCCUGAGGGGGAAAGCGGGGGAUCUUCGGACCUCGCGCUGGAAGAGGAGCCUACGUCUGAUUAGCUAGUUGGUAGGGUAAAGGCCUACCAAGGCGACGAUCGGUAGCUGGUCUGAGAGGACGACCAGCCACACUGGGACUGAGACACGGCCCAGACUCCUACGGGAGGCAGCAGUGGGGAAUUUUUCGCAAUGGGGGCAACCCUGACGAAGCAAUGCCGCGUGAAUGAAGAAGGCCUUCGGGUUGUAAAGUUCUUUCGUGGAGGACGAAAAGGUAGGUGCUAAUAUCGCCUGCUGUUGACGUGAAUCCAAGAAGAAGCACCGGCUAACUCCGUGCCAGCAGCCGCGGUAAUACGGGGGGUGCAAGCGUUAAUCGGAAUCACUGGGCGUAAAGGGUGCGUAGGCGGUGCAUUAGGUCUGUCGUGAAAUCCCCGGGCUCAACCUGGGAAUGGCGGUGGAAACCGGUGUACUAGAGUAUGGGGAGAGGGUGGUGGAAUUCCAGGUGUAGCGGUGAAAUGCGUAGAGAUCUGGAGAACAUCAGUGGCGAAGGCGGCCACCUGGCCCAAAUACUGACGCUGAGGCACGAAAGCGUGGG
This 761-nucleotide ribosomal RNA is filed under the name uncultured bacterium. RNAcentral describes it as "bacterial SSU rRNA". It matches the Rfam family "Bacterial small subunit ribosomal RNA", at positions 8 to 765 of the family's 1533-position model. The record is from RNAcentral.